This 149-nucleotide non-coding RNA is filed under the name Bifidobacterium pseudolongum. Its description in RNAcentral is "FMN sequence". It matches the Rfam family "FMN riboswitch aptamer (RFN element)". Rfam says of the family: The RFN element is a highly conserved domain that is found frequently in the 5'-untranslated regions of prokaryotic mRNAs that encode for flavin mononucleotide (FMN) biosynthesis and transport proteins. This element is a metabolite-dependent riboswitch that directly binds FMN in the absence of proteins. In Bacillus subtilis, the riboswitch most likely controls gene expression by causing premature transcription termination within the 5' untranslated region of the ribDEAHT operon and precluding access to the ribosome-binding site of ypaA mRNA. The record is from RNAcentral. Lineage: Bacteria; Bacillati; Actinomycetota; Actinomycetes; Bifidobacteriales; Bifidobacteriaceae. RNAcentral also lists the same sequence under 1 other name.
GCCAAGUUUCAAGGAAGGUGCAAUUCCUUACUGGCGGUAGCGCCAUACGCCCCAAGGCGGAUCAAGGCGGAGCCCGCAACCCGCAUGCAGCGGUGGAUCUGGUCGGAGUCCAGAGCCAACGGUCAUAGUCCGGAUGGAAGAAACAGGAG